GAUGAACGCUGGCGGCGUGCCUCAAACAUGCAAGUCGAGCGGGGCUAUGUAAUAUCGCAAGGUAGAACAUAGCCUAGCGGCGAACGGGUGAGUAACACGUGGGUAACCUGCCUGGAAGACAGGGAUAACGAUUCGAAAGGGUCACUAAUACCUGAUAAUAUCCUUUCAUCGCAUGGUGAUAGGAAGAAAGGGGAAACCCGCUUUCAGAUGGGCCCGCGUCCCAUCAGCUAGUUGGUAAGGUAAAGGCUUACCAAGGCGACGACGGGUAGCCGGUCUGAGAGGAUGUACGGCCACACUGGGACUGAGAUACGGCCCAGACUCCUACGGGAGGCAGCAGUUGGGAAUCUUAGGCAAUGGACGAAAGUCUGACCUAGCGACGCCGCGUGAGGGAAGAAGGCCUUCGGGUUGUAAACCUCUGUCAUGGGGGAAGAAGGAAGUGACGGUACCCCAAGAGGAAGCCCCUGCUAACUACGUG
Molecule: ribosomal RNA, 475 nt
Filed under: uncultured bacterium
Lineage: Bacteria
Description: bacterial SSU rRNA
Rfam family: Bacterial small subunit ribosomal RNA
Source: RNAcentral